Molecule: ribosomal RNA, 2987 nt
Filed under: Salmonella enterica
Lineage: Bacteria; Pseudomonadati; Pseudomonadota; Gammaproteobacteria; Enterobacterales; Enterobacteriaceae
Also listed under: 1 other name
Description: 23S ribosomal RNA
Rfam family: Bacterial large subunit ribosomal RNA
Source: RNAcentral
GGUUAAGCGACUAAGCGUACACGGUGGAUGCCCUGGCAGUCAGAGGCGAUGAAGGGCGUGCUAAUCUGCGAUAAGCGCCGGUAAGGUGAUAUGAACCGUUAUAACCGGCGAUACCCGAAUGGGGAAACCCAGUGUGACUCGUCACACUAUCAUUAACUGAAUCCAUAGGUUAAUGAGGCGAACCGGGGGAACUGAAACAUCUAAGUACCCCGAGGAAAAGAAAUCAACCGAGAUUCCCCCAGUAGCGGCGAGCGAACGGGGAGGAGCCCAGAGCCUGAAUCAGCAUGUGUGUUAGUGGAAGCGUCUGGAAAGGCGCGCGAUACAGGGUGACAGCCCCGUACACAAAAGCGCAUGUGCUGUGAGCUCGAUGAGUAGGGCGGGACACGUGGUAUCCUGUCUGAAUAUGGGGGGACCAUCCUCCAAGGCUAAAUACUCCUGACUGACCGAUAGUGAACCAGUACCGUGAGGGAAAGGCGAAAAGAACCCCGGCGAGGGGAGUGAAAAAGAACCUGAAACCGUGUACGUACAAGCAGUGGGAGCACAGGUUUACCUGUGUGACUGCGUACCUUUUGUAUAAUGGGUCAGCGACUUAUAUUCUGUAGCAAGGUUAACCGAAUAGGGGAGCCGCAGGGAAACCGAGUCUUAAUUGGGCGUUAAGUUGCAGGGUAUAGACCCGAAACCCGGUGAUCUAGCCAUGGGCAGGUUGAAGGUUGGGUAACACUAACUGGAGGACCGAACCGACUAAUGUUGAAAAAUUAGCGGAUGACCUGUGGCUGGGGGUGAAAGGCCAAUCAAACCGGGAGAUAGCUGGUUCUCCCCGAAAGCUAUUUAGGUAGCGCCUCGUGAACUCAUCUCCGGGGGUAGAGCACUGUUUCGGCUAGGGGGCCAUCCCGGCUUACCAACCCGAUGCAAACUGCGAAUACCGGAGAAUGUUAUCACGGGAGACACACGGCGGGUGCUAACGUCCGUCGUGAAGAGGGAAACAACCCAGACCGCCAGCUAAGGUCCCAAAGUCAUGGUUAAGUGGGAAACGAUGUGGGAAGGCCCAGACAGCCAGGAUGUUGGCUUAGAAGCAGCCAUCAUUUAAAGAAAGCGUAAUAGCUCACUGGUCGAGUCGGCCUGCGCGGAAGAUGUAACGGGGCUAAACCAUGCACCGAAGCUGCGGCAGCGAACGUAUCACUUAAAGCGAUUCAGCGGGUUACGAUUGACGGAGCGAAGCGACGUCAAAGCGUAUACAAAGUCGAGUCGGUUUAAGGAUACGUUCGUUGGGUAGGGGAGCGUUCUGUAAGCCUGUGAAGGUGUGUCGUGAGGCAUGCUGGAGGUAUCAGAAGUGCGAAUGCUGACAUAAGUAACGAUAAAGCGGGUGAAAAGCCCGCUCGCCGGAAGACCAAGGGUUCCUGUCCAACGUUAAUCGGGGCAGGGUGAGUCGACCCCUAAGGCGAGGCCGAAAGGCGUAGUCGAUGGGAAACGGGUUAAUAUUCCCGUACUUGGUGUUACUGCGAAGGGGGGACGGAGAAGGCUAUGUUGGCCGGGCGACGGUUGUCCCGGUUUAAGCGUGUAGGCUGGUUUUCCAGGCAAAUCCGGAAAAUCAAGGCUGAGGCGUGACGACGAGGCACUACGGUGCUGAAGCAACAAAUGCCCUGCUUCCAGGAAAAGCCUCUAAGCAUCAGGUAACAUCAAAUCGUACCCCAAACCGACACAGGUGGUCAGGUAGAGAAUACCAAGGCGCUUGAGAGAACUCGGGUGAAGGAACUAGGCAAAAUGGUGCCGUAACUUCGGGAGAAGGCACGCUGACACGUAGGUGAAGUGAUUUACUCACGGAGCUGAAGUCAGUCGAAGAUACCAGCUGGCUGCAACUGUUUAUUAAAAACACAGCACUGUGCAAACACGAAAGUGGACGUAUACGGUGUGACGCCUGCCCGGUGCCGGAAGGUUAAUUGAUGGGGUCAGCGCAAGCGAAGCUCCUGAUCGAAGCCCCGGUAAACGGCGGCCGUAACUAUAACGGUCCUAAGGUAGCGAAAUUCCUUGUCGGGUAAGUUCCGACCUGCACGAAUGGCGUAAUGAUGGCCAGGCUGUCUCCACCCGAGACUCAGUGAAAUUGAACUCGCUGUGAAGAUGCAGUGUACCCGCGGCAAGACGGAAAGACCCCGUGAACCUUUACUAUAGCUUGACACUGAACAUUGAGCCUUGAUGUGUAGGAUAGGUGGGAGGCUUUGAAGUGUGGACGCCAGUCUGCAUGGAGCCGACCUUGAAAUACCACCCUUUAAUGUUUGAUGUUCUAACGUGGACCCGUAAUCCGGGUUGCGGACAGUGUCUGGUGGGUAGUUUGACUGGGGCGGUCUCCUCCUAAAGAGUAACGGAGGAGCACGAAGGUUGGCUAAUCCUGGUCGGACAUCAGGAGGUUAGUGCAAUGGCAUAAGCCAGCUUGACUGCGAGCGUGACGGCGCGAGCAGGUGCGAAAGCAGGUCAUAGUGAUCCGGUGGUUCUGAAUGGAAGGGCCAUCGCUCAACGGAUAAAAGGUACUCCGGGGAUAACAGGCUGAUACCGCCCAAGAGUUCAUAUCGACGGCGGUGUUUGGCACCUCGAUGUCGGCUCAUCACAUCCUGGGGCUGAAGUAGGUCCCAAGGGUAUGGCUGUUCGCCAUUUAAAGUGGUACGCGAGCUGGGUUUAGAACGUCGUGAGACAGUUCGGUCCCUAUCUGCCGUGGGCGCUGGAGAACUGAGGGGGGCUGCUCCUAGUACGAGAGGACCGGAGUGGACGCAUCACUGGUGUUCGGGUUGUCAUGCCAAUGGCACUGCCCGGUAGCUAAAUGCGGAAGAGAUAAGUGCUGAAAGCAUCUAAGCACGAAACUUGCCCCGAGAUGAGUUCUCCCUGAGACUUAGAGUCUCCUGAAGGAACGUUGAAGACGACGACGUUGAUAGGCCGGGUGUGUAAGCGCAGCGAUGCGUUGAGCUAACCGGUACUAAUGAACCGUGAGGCUUAACCUU